GCCGAAGCAAACGAACGUUAUUCGGAAUUACUGGGCUUAAAGGGUGCGUAGGCUGUGGGGAAAGUUAGGUGUGAAAUCCCCCGGCUCAACCGGGGAAUUGCGCUUAAAACUACCGUGCUAGAGGAAGACAGAGGUGGGCGGAACUUCGGGUGUAGCGGUGAAAUGCGUUGAUAUCCGAAGGAACACCGGUGGCGAAAGCGGCUCACUGGGCCUUUUCUGACGCUGAUGCACGAAAGCUAGGGGAGCAAACGGG
This 253-nucleotide ribosomal RNA is filed under the name uncultured bacterium. Its description in RNAcentral is "partial 16S ribosomal RNA". It matches the Rfam family "Bacterial small subunit ribosomal RNA", at positions 524 to 776 of the family's 1533-position model. The record is from RNAcentral.